RNAcentral lists this small RNA (460 nucleotides) under Histoplasma capsulatum var. duboisii H88. RNAcentral's name for it is "Histoplasma capsulatum H88 hypothetical RNA". Lineage: Eukaryota; Fungi; Ascomycota; Eurotiomycetes; Onygenales; Ajellomycetaceae. The record is from RNAcentral.
CUACAACCCCCUCCGUGCCCAUUGCCGCGGAAGCUUUUCUAGACUGGGUCACGGACGUUACAGACGCAACCUCUACUAACUUCCUCGCUGAAAUGGCUUGGAGCCUAUCCUCGCUAGGGCUAUCACAGGAUGGAGUUGACCCCGUCGCUGACUCUGAAGUGAUGUUGAAGAUCAUCACAGAGUUUUGGGGCGCAUUUCAAUUGAGGCGCCAAGAUGAAGGUACAGCGGAAGAAUGCAUUUCACUACGGAAAUAGAUCAGAUCUUUUACCCCAGGGUUUUUCAAAGACGGGGUUGGGUGUGGUUAUGUGUGGGAGGAAGGAUACUUGAUGUGGAUGUGGUAGGAUGUCAUCGAGGGAGAAAUAAAACACGGUGAAGAGAGAGGAUAGAAGAAGAGUGCCGUUUAUAUAUAAUGUGUAGCUUAAUAUAUCGGUGAGUGAUGUGAUAUGAACCAAAUUAAUCC